Molecule: long non-coding RNA, 625 nt
Organism: Apis dorsata (giant honeybee)
Lineage: Eukaryota; Metazoa; Arthropoda; Insecta; Hymenoptera; Apidae
Exons: 3
Source: RefSeq, a predicted model, not a curated record
GCUAUUUAUUAUCAUUUGAUAUAUCUUGUUUAUCUCCAUAUAUCGCGUAAGGAUUGUUCGUUUACAAUCAUUUCUCUGUCUUUUUUUCUCUCUCUCUCUCUUUUUUUUUUUUCAUCAAUAUUAUUAUUCUCUGUUGCAGUUUCUAAUUGGUUAUCGUGUAACACACGAGAAGAAACUCGAUCGGUGAUCGCUUUAUAAAUCAAGAAGAGUUACUGGACACCCUCCCGGUGUGCCAAGAUUUUAAUCGACAAGUGUGCAACCGUCCCGCCUGCAAGUUUAUCCAUCUCAGUGACGGAAACGUGGAGGUGAUCGAGAAUCGCGUGACCGUGUGCAGGGACGCAGUGAAGGGCGCGUGCAUGCGACCCCAGUGUAAAUAUUAUCACAUACCGGUCGCGUUGCCGCCAGCGCCCUUGAUGGCGAUCACAUCGCCUGCGACGCCCUAGUUACUCCUUCUCGUUUAGCGGAUGUGUGUAUCACGACGAGGCGAGGAGCUAGAACAACCGGCAGACAGAUGCAGAUGAUGGUGCGGACGAGGGAGAGAAAAAAGUCUUGAGAGAAGAUUUGAAGAUACUCGACGAGGGAUCGAUAGAGAAGAAGAAAUGGAAAACGACCGACGAAACGAGGA